CAUCUACGUCAUCAAAUCAAAUCACGUUGGAAAUAGCAAUACUUGAAUUAUUUGCUAUGAUGCAAACAAAGUAUGUUAAAUUCAGGUUACAGGAUGGCCAUUUCUUUACAAAGCUCUUCUGAUUGACGGUGUUGUAACUUCGGAAAUCAUUUAAGAUUACGACUCCAAACGAAAAUAGUUUCAUAACUUCAGAUCGGAACACGGACUGUAAGGAAAUAAACGAUGGUAUUUCGGAGUUGCCGUGAUGGAAGUUUCAUGCCUUUCUAAACAACGGAAUUCAGAUGAU
This is a long non-coding RNA of Lytechinus variegatus (green sea urchin), 286 nucleotides long. RefSeq lists it as uncharacterized. NCBI's taxonomy places the organism in Eukaryota, Metazoa, Echinodermata, Echinoidea, Temnopleuroida, Toxopneustidae. The record is from RefSeq and is a predicted model, not a curated record. The transcript is spliced from 3 exons.